AGCUCCAAUAGCGUAUAUUAAAGUUGUUGUGGUUAAAAAGCUCGUAGUGGUUGGUUUGAAUUGAUUCAACACUGACUUUUUUACCCGUGUGUUUUGCCAGAAUCUUACGGGUGAUCUUUACCGAUUGUCCGUUGGAACUGGCAGGUUUACUUUGAAAAAAUUAGAGUGCUCAAAGCAAGCUUACUGCUUGAAUAGUUGCGCAUGGAAUAAUAGAAUAGGAAGUCGUUUCUAUUUUGUUGGUUUUCGGAAAUCGACUUAAUGAUUAAUAGGGAUAGUCGGGGGCAUUCGUAUUCAAACGACAGAGGUGAAAUUCUUGGACCGUUUGAAGACGAACUAAGGCGAAAGCAUUUGCCAAGAAUGUUUUCA
This 366-nucleotide ribosomal RNA is filed under the name marine copepod environmental sample. RNAcentral's name for it is "SSU rRNA". It matches the Rfam family "Eukaryotic small subunit ribosomal RNA", at positions 587 to 972 of the family's 1831-position model. The record is from RNAcentral. Lineage: Eukaryota; Metazoa; Arthropoda; Copepoda.